Molecule: ribosomal RNA, 508 nt
Filed under: uncultured bacterium
Lineage: Bacteria
Description: bacterial SSU rRNA
Rfam family: Bacterial small subunit ribosomal RNA
Source: RNAcentral
UGGCUCAGGAUGAACGCUGGCGGCGUGCUUAACACAUGCAAGUCGAACGGACUCAUAUUGAAACCUAGUGAUUUAUGAGUUAGUGGCGGACGGGUGAGUAACGCGUGGAAAACCUGCCGUAUACUGGGGGAUAACACUUAGAAAUAGGUGCUAAUACCGCAUAAGCGCACAGCUUCGCAUGAAGUGGUGUGAAAAACUCUGGUGGUAUACGAUGGUUCCGCGUCUGAUUAGCUUGUUGGCGGGGUAAUGGCUCACCAAGGCGACGAUCAGUAGCCGGCCUGAGAGGGUGAACGGCCACAUUGGGACUGAGACACGGCCCAAACUUCUACGGGAGGCAGCAGUGGGGAAUAUUGCACAAUGGGGGAAACCCUGAUGCAGCGACGCCGCGUGAGUGAAGAAGUAUUUCGGUAUGUAAAGCUCUAUCAGCAGGGAAGAAAAUGACGGUACCUGAUUAAGAAGCCCCGGCUAACUACGUGCCAGCAGCCGCGGUAAUACGUAGGGGGCAAGC